Molecule: long non-coding RNA, 258 nt
Filed under: Medicago truncatula (barrel medic)
Lineage: Eukaryota; Viridiplantae; Streptophyta; Magnoliopsida; Fabales; Fabaceae
Description: long non-coding RNA (MTRU_LNC007123)
Source: RNAcentral
ACAAGUUGUGAAAGGACAGAAGUUGUGCUAUGGCACGUCUCCGUGGUUUAGAGUGUAAACUUUUGUCUUCGAUUAUUUUAUGCUACGUUGUUAUGUAUUAUAGCAGAUUGAAAAAUGUCUGUUAGUUCUAAGAACAUGUGUCGUAUCUUUAUUUCCGUUGUUACAUUGCUUAUGAUAAACUCAAUUGUUCAGAAGCACCAAAUCAAUAUAUGGAGAAGACGGGAUAUAUCUUAGUAAAUGAUUUUAAUUGAGUUUUUU